GAUCCUAUAGCUCAGUUGGUUAGAGCGUGUGACUGUUAAGUUUCUGCUGUUCAGUUGCAUCACAAGGUCGCUGGUUCGAACCCAGCUAGGAUCG
Molecule: non-coding RNA, 94 nt
Organism: Violaceomyces palustris
Lineage: Eukaryota; Fungi; Basidiomycota; Ustilaginomycetes; Violaceomycetales; Violaceomycetaceae
Source: the annotation of a GenBank genome assembly